Molecule: non-coding RNA, 24 nt
Filed under: Arabidopsis thaliana (thale cress)
Lineage: Eukaryota; Viridiplantae; Streptophyta; Magnoliopsida; Brassicales; Brassicaceae
Source: RNAcentral
CAUCUCAAGUUUUCGGCGUAAGAC